GACGAACGCUGGCGGCGUGCUUAACACAUGCAAGUCGUACGGUAAGGCCCUUUCUGGGUUACCUGAGUGGCGAACGGGUGAGUAACACGUGAGUAACCUGCCUACACUUUUGUUUUAUCGCUAUUAAACUGGUGCUAAUUCUGGAUAUGUGGUCCUGCUGCAUGGUUGGGGUUGGUUAGCUCCUGGGGUCGUGGAUGGAUUCGCGGGCUAAUAGCUUGUUGGUGGGUUAGUGGGCUACCAAGGCGGCCACGGGUAGCCCGCCUGAGGGGGUGAGCGGCCGAAAUGGGGAUUGAGAAAGGCCCAAGCUCCUAAGGGAGGGAAGAGGGGGGAAGAAUGCACAAGGGGGGCAAGGCUGGUGCAGCAACGCCGCGGGCGGGAUGACGGGCUUCGGGGUGGAAAACGGUUUCAGCAGGGAAGAAGCCUUUUGUGACGGUACCUGCAGAAGAAGCACCGGCUAACUACGUG
This 465-nucleotide ribosomal RNA is filed under the name uncultured bacterium. RNAcentral describes it as "partial 16S ribosomal RNA". It matches the Rfam family "Bacterial small subunit ribosomal RNA", at positions 28 to 507 of the family's 1533-position model. The record is from RNAcentral.